RNAcentral lists this ribosomal RNA (506 nucleotides) under uncultured bacterium. RNAcentral's name for it is "partial 16S ribosomal RNA". It matches the Rfam family "Bacterial small subunit ribosomal RNA", at positions 30 to 523 of the family's 1533-position model. The record is from RNAcentral.
AUUGAACGCUGGCGGCAGGCCUAACACAUGCAAGUCGGACGGUAGCACAGAGGAGCUUGCUCCUCGGGUGACGAGUGGCGGACGGGUGAGUAAUGUCUGGGGAUCUGCCCGAUAGAGGGGGAUAACCACUGGAAACGGUGGCUAAUACCGCAUAACGUCGCAAGACCAAAGAGGGGGACCUUCGGGCCUCUCACUAUCGGAUGAACCCAGAUGGGAUUAGCUAGUAGGCGGGGUAACGGCCCACCUAGGCGACGAUCCCUAGCUGGUCUGAGAGGAUGACCAGCCACACUGGAACUGAGACACGGUCCAGACUCCUACGGGAGGCAGCAGUGGGGAAUAUUGCACAAUGGGCGCAAGCCUGAUGCAGCCAUGCCGCGUGUAUGAAGAAGGCCUUCGGGUUGUAAAGUACUUUCAGCGGGGAGGAAGGCGAUAAGGUUAAUAACUUUGUCGAUUGACGUUACCCGCAGAAGAAGCACCGGCUAACUCCGUGCCAGCCGCCGCUGUAA